GAUGAACGCUAGCGACAGGCCUAACACAUGCAAGUCGAGGGGCAGCACAUGAGUAGCAAUACGAUGGUGGCGACCGGCGCACGGGUGAGUAACACGUAUGCAACCUGCCUUCUACUAUGGGAUAACCCGUUGAAAGACGGACUAAUACCGUAUAAUACAGGGGCUCCGCAUGGAGAUAUUUGUUAAAGAUUUAUUGGUAGAAGAUGGGCAUGCGUAUGAUUAGAUAGUUGGUGAGGUAACGGCUCACCAAGUCAACGAUCAUUAGGGGUUCUGAGAGGGAGGUCCCCCACACUGGUACUGAGACACGGACCAGACUCCUACGGGAGGCAGCAGUGAGGAAUAUUGGUCAAUGGACGAGAGUCUGAACCAGCCAAGUCGCGUGAAGGAAGACGGUUCUAUGAAUUGUAAACUUCUUUUGUGCAGGAAUAAAGUGGGUUACGUGUAACCUUUUGUAUGUACUGUACGAAUAAGGAUCGGCUAACUCCGUGCCAGC
Molecule: ribosomal RNA, 493 nt
Filed under: uncultured bacterium
Lineage: Bacteria
Description: bacterial SSU rRNA
Rfam family: Bacterial small subunit ribosomal RNA
Source: RNAcentral